This 21-nucleotide non-coding RNA is filed under the name Caenorhabditis elegans. The record is from RNAcentral. Lineage: Eukaryota; Metazoa; Nematoda; Chromadorea; Rhabditida; Rhabditidae.
UCGCGACCAAUUUGAUGGAUG